CAGUCGAGCGGACUGAUGGGAGCUUGCUCCCAUCAGUCAGCGGCGGACGGGUGAGUAACACGUGGGUAACCUGCCUGUAAGACUGGGAUAACUCCGGGAAACCGGGGCUAAUACCGGAUAACUCAUUUCCUCGCAUGAGGAAAUGUUGAAAGGUGGCUUUUAGCUAUCACUUACAGAUGGACCCGCGGCGCAUUAGCUAGUUGGUGAGGUAACGGCUCACCAAGGCGACGAUGCGUAGCCGACCUGAGAGGGUGAUCGGCCACACUGGGACUGAGACACGGCCCAGACUCCUACGGGAGGCAGCAGUAGGGAAUCUUCCGCAAUGGACGAAAGUCUGACGGAGCAACGCCGCGUGAGUGAUGAAGGUUUUCGGAUCGUAAAACUCUGUUGUUAGGGAAGAACAAGUACCGUUCGAAUAGGGCGGUACCUUGACGGUACCUAACCAGAAAGCCACGGCUAACUACGUGCCAGCAGCCGCGGUAAUACGUAGGUGGCAAGCGUUGUCCGGAAUUA
RNAcentral lists this ribosomal RNA (513 nucleotides) under Bacillus sp. CH380b_12D. RNAcentral describes it as "bacterial SSU rRNA". It matches the Rfam family "Bacterial small subunit ribosomal RNA", at positions 59 to 553 of the family's 1533-position model. The record is from RNAcentral. Lineage: Bacteria; Bacillati; Bacillota; Bacilli; Caryophanales; Bacillaceae.